Non-coding RNA from Naegleria carteri, 211 nucleotides. Lineage: Eukaryota; Heterolobosea; Eutetramitea; Acrasida; Naegleriidae. The record is from Rfam.
CUGUUAAUUGUGGGUGUAUUUAGUGUGCAAUGGGGUUCAUACCUUAAUUUGCCAAAACGGGACCUCUGUUGAGGUAUAAAAUUCUGAAAAGAAUUGAAUAUUCCGUACUAAGGUACAUCCGGAACGUCUAGAGACUACACGGCAAACCAAUUUUGGUGGUAUGAAUGGAUAGUCCCUAGUAACCAUCUAGGCAUCCCAUACAAAAUGGUAA